Molecule: ribosomal RNA, 253 nt
Filed under: uncultured bacterium
Lineage: Bacteria
Description: partial 16S ribosomal RNA
Rfam family: Bacterial small subunit ribosomal RNA
Source: RNAcentral
UACGUAGGGCGCAAGCGUUGUCCGGAAUUAUUGGGCGUAAAGAGCUCGUAGGCGGCCUGUUGCGUCCGCUGUGAAAUCCCGGGGCUUAACCCCGGGCUUGCAGUGGAUACGGGCAGGCUGGAGGCAGGUAGGGGAGACUGGAAUUCCUGGUGUAGCGGUGAAAUGCGCAGAUAUCAGGAGGAACACCGGUGGCGAAGGCGGGUCUCUGGGCCGUAACUGACGCUGAGGAGCGAAAGCGUGGGGAGCGAACAGG